This is a long non-coding RNA of Astatotilapia calliptera (eastern happy), 1763 nucleotides long. NCBI's taxonomy places the organism in Eukaryota, Metazoa, Chordata, Actinopteri, Cichliformes, Cichlidae. The record is from Ensembl.
GGAGAUUUGGGAAAAUUACCCAACAAGUCGAGAGAGGAAGUCAUCAUCCAGGAUUUAAAUGCAGUUUGUUUUCUUUGAAGGGGCGAACACCUUAAUGCAGCAUGCGGCUAAACUAGACACGGUAAUCUCAUCCCGGGUCGGCUGCUCUGCGUGUAUUUCCAGUACACUGCUGCUGCCGUGUGGUUUAACGUUACUACCGCUAGCAACUAGUGAGUCAUAUUAUCACAAACUGGUGAGGACACACUGGUGAGUGCGGUUAACGCUGCUAGCAGAGCACCCCCAACUAGCUAACGGUACCUGGAAAUAAAUGAAACUAUGUCUGGUUAAAGCUACUCUGGGGCCACCGUCGACCACAAGCAGGCUGCUGUUUCUCAAAGUUCAAGCCAACUUAGCGUUAGCACAAACGAUGCACUGAGAGCUAACUUCGUCUCUUGGUCGAAGAGCCAACAACGGCAGAAUGUGGCUUUAGCUGGUAAGUUUGUUUACUUCAUGACUCACCAACCACUAUUAUGUUACUUGGCUAACGUUGUCGUUAGUUUAGUUGAUAUGGAAGCCAAGGUCUAUAUUUGCAGCAGCUACAAAUAGGUUUAGGCUAUGUGUAGUCGCUGGCGUUUUCCAUUGCAAAUGCUACCAUUUGAAGUGUUUUUUAACCUUUCUUUUUUUUUUUUUUUUUUUUUUUUUAAAAAAAGGUUAAAUCGCCGUCUUUGAUCCAACGUUCGCCGCUAGUGUUUAUUGUGGCAUGGCAACCGCACAGCUGCAGAAAAGUCACAUCUGUAGCGUUUAGCUUUUUUUCUUACGCCAACUCUGACUCAGAGUAAGCUGGCAUAGUUUUAGCUCAGCUCAGUUUUCUUUUAAAUUAUAUCUGUCUUUUUCAGUCACGAAAGUUCAUAUAUAAUUAAUAGAAGGUUGAAUUCAUCAGUUGUUUUUUCCCCCUCAAACAGAAAUGUUAUUUUUAACAUAAGUAGAAAGAAACAAUUUUCUUGGUGGGAUACAUCUUAAAUGCAACCCUGGUCGAAGGCCCGCCACAAUAAAUACAUAUGUGUGUAUUUAUUUAUUUAUUGAGCACCUGAAGUCUGUAAGAGACAUAGAGGGAGCUUUAGCAAGAGUAACUAAGUAAUGGUUUUCUGUAUGACUUCAUCGAUGUCUCAUAUCAUUGAAACACAAGAAAUGUUGUUCCACUCUUCUUUUUGCCUUCUUUCAUUUUGCUACUCUCUUGAGCUUUACAGCAUUUGAGUCAAAUUAAGGUCUAGACUGGACUAUUGUAACAUGUAGAUAUUUUUUUGUUUUUCUUCCACAGUCUUUGAGUUGUAGAUGCAUUGCCUUGCUUGUGAUUUUUUUUUUAAUGUAUUUAUUUAAUUUUUUUGCACGACCAGCCCCAACCAAGCUUUAGAUCUUAAUCUCUAGAAUACUUUGGUAAACAGAGUUUAGGUCCUGUGGCUGCAAACAAGACCAAAUGAUCACCACUCUAACACGUUACUAUGAGAUGUUUGUGGUGAUAUAUACGUGUGUGCAUGUAUGUAUGUAUGUAUGUAUGCAUGUAUAUAUUAGGGGUGCAACGAUACACAAAAUUCACGGUUCGAUAUUUUUUCGAUACAAAAAAAAUGUUCAUGCUUUUUAAUUUGUCAUUUAUUAAAAUUAUAAAUAUAUAUUUUAACUCAAAAGUACAGUUUUUAAAUUUAAUGUUGCUGAAACAACAAAGUAAUAAAAAAAAAUAUAUAUAUAUCUGAUCGAGAAAUCACUCAUCUUUGGAAAAGAGAGUUUAU